AGGAGGACCACAUUCUUGUUACUCUUUGAGAGGUAAGAAACUAGAGUUGUGAUUUGGGUGAAGGCAAACUUUGAUGAGAAGGCCUUUCUCCCCCUUGUUGCUAGGAAUGCAGGAGGGAGCGCAGGCUUGUUCUUUCUAACUGUGCUAACCAUGGUGAUCUUCCUCUUCAGGAGCUGCUGGCUGAAUUCAUAAAGGGUGAAGAAAUUGUCACACGUGACAUUGUGCCCCCUCAGUCCAUCUAUCACAUCAAGCACAACCCGCAUCCCCUGGUUCUUCUCCGUGCCUCCACUGGUCGGCUUCCCUGUGUAGACUAGCAUCUUUCAAGUGUAGCUGGAUUGUGCAUCACAGGCCACCCAUUUCUUGAUGCCAUAAUUUGCUGGCUUGCUGGGCAUAUACUGCCGGAAUGAUAUGGACAAAAAAAUGUGCCUCUGAAUGGAACCAGUUGAUCAUCCACUCUUACUUCAGGCCCAGGAUUGUAGAGCUUGGGGGAUUUCUUCUUCAUCUGAAGAUGAUGCAUCGUGCUCUGGGU
This is a long non-coding RNA of Salvelinus namaycush (lake trout), 529 nucleotides long. RefSeq lists it as uncharacterized. Lineage: Eukaryota; Metazoa; Chordata; Actinopteri; Salmoniformes; Salmonidae. The transcript has 3 exons. The record is from RefSeq and is a predicted model, not a curated record.